This 72-nucleotide transfer RNA is filed under the name Danio rerio (zebrafish). It matches the Rfam family "tRNA". From Rfam's summary of the family: Transfer RNA (tRNA) molecules are approximately 80 nucleotides in length. The record is from Rfam by way of RNAcentral. Lineage: Eukaryota; Metazoa; Chordata; Actinopteri; Cypriniformes; Danionidae.
AACAAAGUGGCGCAGCAGAAGCGUGCUAGGCACAUAACCCAGAGGUCGAUGGAUCGAAACCAUCCUCUGCUA